This 1095-nucleotide ribosomal RNA is filed under the name Triticum aestivum (bread wheat). RNAcentral describes it as "partial small subunit ribosomal RNA". Lineage: Eukaryota; Viridiplantae; Streptophyta; Magnoliopsida; Poales; Poaceae. The record is from RNAcentral.
AUGGGUGGUGCCGGCGGCGCCAAGGCUUACGGCGCGGUGGUUCUCAUCAGGGUCAUGUACUCCGGCAUGCACAUCAUGAGCAAGAUUGCGCUGGAUCAGGGCAUGAACCCCUUCGUCUUCGUCUUCUACCGUCAUACCACCGCCGCGCUCGUGCUCAUCCCUAUCGCUUUUGCUCUGGAGAGGCAAAAGACUAAACCUGUGACGUUGAAGAUUGCAGGGAAGAUGUUCGUGCACGCCUUGUAUGGGGUAACCGCAUGUGGCGUCUUAUUUAACCUUGGUCUCAACUAUGCGUCCGCGACAUCAUCGUCGGCGUUGUACAAUGUUCAACCGGUGGUUACCUUCAUCUUAGCGGUCAUAAUUGGGAUGGAGUCUAUGAAGCUGAAGAAGCUCCAUGGCAACCUAAAAGUGGCAGGCAUUCUCUGCUGCGUCGCCGGCGUCACGGUGCUGGCCUUCUACGAGGGGCCAAUGUUCAGAUCUUUCAACCAUCACCGGCUCUUCCAGCACGGCAGCAGCAACAGCUCCUCCGGAUCAGGAACCUACUCCAAGAACCAGUGGGUAUUUGGGAUUUUCCUCAUGACACUCUCCAACAUUUUAGCAGGCUUGUGGACUGUGCUUCAGGGGCCACUGAUAGAGGACACUUCCAAGCUUAUGAAUACCACACUGCAGAUCUCAUGCGCGUCGGUCCAGGCCUUCGUGGUGGCUGUCGCAGCCGAGAGGGAUUUCUCCAAGUGGAAGAUCGGCUGGAAUAUUAGUCUCGCCGCUAUCAUCUACAGCGGCGUGAUCGUGACCGCGCUUUCGUACUACAUGCAAAUGUGGACGAUCGCCAAGAGGGGGCCGGUGUUCCUCGCCAUGUCCAUGCCGCUCACUCUGAUCUUCACAAUCAUCAUAUCUUCGUUCGUUUUAGGAGAGGCAGUUAGCCUAGGAAGUAUAAUUGCUGGGAUACUACUGAUUGGAGGCCUGUACAACGUACUGUGGGGGAAAAACAUGGAGAGAAAAGACGACGACACGAACAAGAUGGGUGGCGGUAAACCUGCCCAGGAGCUGCAAGACAAGGAGCAGGCCCGAGUGCCGGAUGAUGCGGCGGCAAAGGUCUGA